RNAcentral lists this ribosomal RNA (402 nucleotides) under bacterium. Its description in RNAcentral is "partial 16S ribosomal RNA". It matches the Rfam family "Bacterial small subunit ribosomal RNA", at positions 355 to 776 of the family's 1533-position model. The record is from RNAcentral.
UGGGGAAUUUUGCACAAUGGGGGAAACCCUGAUGCAGCGACGCCGCGUGAUUUAGAAGGCCUUCGGGUUGUAAAAAUCUUUUUUACGGGAUGAAAAUGACAGUACCGUAAGAAUAAGGUCCGGCUAAAUACGUGCCAGCAGCUGCGGUAAUACGUAUGGACCGAGCGUUGUCCGGAAUCAUUGGGCGUAAAGGGUACGUAGGCGGCCUAGUAAGUUAGAAGUGAAAUAAUAUAGCUCAACUAUAUAAAGCUUUUAAAACUGCUAGGCUUGAGAGAUAGAAGGGAAAGUGGAAUUCCUAGUGUAGCGGUUAAAUGCGCAGAUAUUAGGAAGAAUACCGGUGGCGAAGGCGACUUUCUGGUCAUCAUCUGACGCUGAGGUACGAAAGAGUGGGUAGCAGACAGG